This 253-nucleotide ribosomal RNA is filed under the name uncultured bacterium. RNAcentral describes it as "partial 16S ribosomal RNA". It matches the Rfam family "Bacterial small subunit ribosomal RNA", at positions 524 to 776 of the family's 1533-position model. The record is from RNAcentral.
UACAGAGGUCUCAAGCGUUGUUCGGAUUCAUUGGGCGUAAAGGGUGUGUAGGUGGCGCCGUAAGUCGGGUGUGAAAGCCCUCGGCUCAACCGGGGAAGUGCACCCGAAACUGCAAAGCUAGAGUCUCGGAGAGGAUCGUGGAAUUCUCGGUGUAGAGGUGAAAUUCGUAGAUAUCGAGAGGAACACCGGUGGCGAAGGCGGCGAUCUGGACGAUGACUGACGCUGAGACGCGAAAGCGUGGGGAGCAAACAGG